AGUUAAAAAGUUUCAUCAUUAGCCCCAGACACUUCCUGUGCGUCAGAUCAGAUGCUGAACCAUAGAUUUACCUCUGUGGUUAUGGUUUGUACUGAAAGCCACUUUCUACAAACAGUGUGCCGUCACUAUAUCAAACACACGGCUUCAGAAAGAGCCUCUUCCUCGGCAGAACGGGGAAUUCUGUGACCUAGUCAUGCAGGGUGACAUUCAGAAGUGCUGCUUGCUACUUGUUUCCUAAAGAAACAAAGGACAGCAAGGGCACAGGAUCCCGACUGUCUCCCAAAUCCAUCUCCAAAUGAGGAGCGACUCCUUGGGAAUGGCGGCUCUGUACGGCGGUGACAGCGGCGGGCUCUCCCGGGGAGCAGUGUGCUGGGAACCUGUCUGCGGAGGAGUCUCUGGUCCUCAGGGACACAGCACACCGAGGGGAGGAGGGCCGCCUGACCCUUCACGGAGGUCCAGGGUGACAGAUACCUGGAUGACACCCCGGCCACCGAGGUCCGGAGUGACAGUUACCUAGAUGACACCAUGGACACCGAGGAAUGCCUGUGUCAGGAGAGACCACUCCCUAAGGCCGGUCAAAUGAACACCUGCUGUGAAAGCCCAGGCCAGGGGGCGGGGCCUGUCAUGCGGCUCCGCCCCCGGCGUUUCAGGGCGGUCCUGCCUUGGCACUCGGCCACCCGCCCCAGCUGGUCCCACGUGGGCUUUGCGGCUGGGCACUGCGGGCAACGGGGAUGGAAAGGCUGUGUGAACGCACAUUAGAUAGAACUGUCGUCUACAAGUGGCCUCGGGGCCAGCGCCCAGAUUUUCGAUUUCCUAAAACCAGAAAGGAAUUAGAGUGGAGUAGUAAAAAGACGGGGCUCUGGAAUUAGACCAAUUUCCUUACGUUUUUUUGUUACUGAACUUUCCAGUCUGUUUCUCCAUUCAUACUACCAGGGUGUAAGUCUUCUCUCCCGGCGGGGGAUGGAGGGGACAUUCAGUGUCACCUGUCGGGGCUUCAAGCUCAGUUCUUGCUUGGACUAGUUUUUGGUACUAAUACCCGACAGAUUGAUCACAGAAUAACUUACCUAAGUUCAACUUCAAAGUGGUGAUUUUUUCCUAUUUAAAACAUAGCAGUUUUCCUUUCAAAUCAAAAUACUACUUUGAGGCUCCCGUGAAAUGCCUUCUGUUAGAAUUUAGAAGAGAUUUACAAGGAGCCAUUAUUUCCAAAAGGUAGCUUUAAAUAAAGCUUUUUAGAAAAAUUGAAUUAGGACAUUGCAGUGAGUCUCUAAAGUUUCCUCAUGAGGGGCAAAUCUUUAAGGGACGUGUUCCACACUGUCCCUCCCAGAUUCAGCUGAGGCGGGAGAAUGGCACGUGGGGUAAGUUCACGGUGAGACCACAGGCACACCUUGCUCUACUGCACUUCUCAGAUGCUGUGUGUUCCACAAGCUGAAUGCAAGACCCUCCUCCAGCAACAAGAUUCCACCCUGCUUUCUUGGGGUGGCCUGGGACCCGACCCGCAAUGCCUCGAGGUCUGCCUGCACACCGUAAUCAGCAAUUCAUGCACCUCAGCGCCCCAUGCUUCAGCUAGUCAGAUUGCACCCCCAUCCCCAGCUAUCCCCUUGGCAGGCAGUCGUGAGAGGGAAUCCAAUAAAACUCAACAGUCUCCAGCAUUCUACUGAGUUUAGCAAUCGUGGGCUUACCCCCCAGUGCAGGAGACUGCAGUCAGAGCUUCUACUCAGAGCUGCUGGGAUCUUUCAGCUGUUAGCACUGGCCACUAAAGCUUUCCCCUCAUUGUUCCACACAUGACUGCUGUAUUCGAGACGACCGCUUAUGUGUGCACAUCUUCCUGCCGGUCUGGUAAAUGAGCUUUUCUUGACUUUUCAAUCUGUCAAUCAUUCUCUUAAAAGCCUGUAAAACUAUAUUCCCUUAUAGAGAACGUGUCUUCCGCCGAGAGCCCACUUCCUUCCCGCUUCUGCACAUCACCUCAUUAUGGUCCCAAUCCAAUUUUCUAGGUUCAUCGUCCUAAGAAAAAAGCGGUUCUUAAACUUCAGCAUCAUGCACCAGAAUCACCCAGGAAGUUUGUCCAAACUCCAAUGUCACAUUUCUAACGCGUUUCCAGGUGACGCUGGUAUUACUGCUGCUCUGGGAGAGAACUUUUCACUGAUUUUCUCCAAAACAGGUCAAUACCACCGUGGGUAUAUUUUCAUAUACUUGAACACUUUAAUGUUUUCUAGGUAAGUAUAUGGUGUUUCUCAAGUGAGAUAGAAUCUUGGAGAAGAGUGUGUCUGCAGUUGAGUACGUAUGUAGUAGGCACACGAAUGUGUCUAAGUUCUGAUCAACCAUGGCCUUUUAGACAGAUUGGCUAUUAUUUAAGUGACUAAUAAAUGAGAAGAAGGAAUAGGACAGCUGCUUAAGUAUUUGGCCCCUUUGGCCAUGGUUGUCAUCCAUGCACAAUCAUAAGGGAACGGAAGCAAAGCCCCUGAGGUCUCACUCUGGCCUGCAAGCAAUGGAGGUCAACACGCUGGCCAGUUAGGUCUCCCUGGCCCAUUAGUGCAGGUUCUCGUGUAAGUUCUGGCUUUAUGAGCUCAGUUCUACCUACCUACUUGCCUGUUUACCUUUAACUCAGUUUUACCUAUAUACCUGCCUACUUCCACAUGCGUGUGUGCACACGCACACAUGAUCUAGAUCUUGAAGCAUCACUACUACCUGUUACUGUUACCUAUGUCAAAACAAAUAGAAACAAUGACCAGUCUGUCCUUCACAUAUUCUUAUACAGUACCCAGUGGACAUUCAUAAAUACGGAGACUAGCUGGACGCUCGUCAUUCCUUCUGACGCAGCCUAGACAAGUGGCAAAGGCUCCUGCGGCCGAACGCGGAGACCUUUCACGAAGAUGCUCGGUGGACAGCACAAAGGGGCAAGCGGUCAUCUGUGGGGCCCUGAGCGGCCAAAGGCCGGCGCGGGAAGGACGGACGACCGCGAGCUGCCGAGGGCCGCAGUCUGGUUUACAGUGGCCCUUAACAGUCCUUGAAAAACCACUUUCCUGCCGCAGCCAAGUCCUGGCUACUCAUUGCAGACCGCCAGGAGCUGCGGUCACCAGAACGGCCUUCCACGGCGCGAGCCCCGAGCGCGCCCGCGUGAUGAGCCCGAGGAAGGCAGCGGGAGCGAGGACGACGGCCUGGCGGCCACCGGGAAGGCUGCCCACGGUCUUAGAGCCUGUCCUUGCCACGUCCCCCGUCCCCCGGCAAGCUCGCUCCAGCUCCGACCCCGAGCCGCGGCACCGCUGCCUGCGAGGAGCUCUGUGCGGGCGCUCGGCUGCUCCCCGCUGCCCGAGAUGGGGUGGACCGGACCCCCUGAGAGAUGGGCGGACCGGACCCCCGGGAGAUGGGUGGACCGGACCCCGGGAGAUGGGCGGACCGGACCGCCCACUGAGAGGCGGUGGACUGAGCCACUCCCUUGCCGUCACCCCAAUCUCUUCGCGCCCCUUACGCGCUUACCACACUGCACCGCAGCUUGUCUGUUUACUUGUCCCCCACUCCAGACUGCGAGUUCCUUGAAGAAGGGACAGGCUCCCUUCGUCUCGUGACCCUGGGCUGCACCUGGCCAGUGGGUGACCGACUCGGGGUUCAGAGAACAGGCGGGCUGGGCGGGGCGGCGCCGCCCCUGGCACGCGUGUGGCUUCCCGCCUGCGCUCCCCUGCCAGCUCGGAAGUCGCCUGCUCCUGAGGCUGCAGGCGCUGACCUCCGCGGACACCCAGACCUCCCGGGGCGAUGACACGCCUCUCUGCCUCCAUGACACGUGACGCACGCCCGGCUCCGGCUCCCCGGGGCCCCGGCCGCCUGCUGCUGGCAGAGGCCGGCUGUCCCUGCGCGGGUUCCCUCGGUCCUCUUUAGCGGCUCCUACGCCGCCGUGGGAGGACAUGAACACCGCGUAAGGUUUCCUAGGCAGCCCAGCUCCGGGGCCUGCCCUCAUCUUGUGGCCCCUGCCUUCCACAGUUAACGUGGUCCCCUGGCCCUACCGUGAGAAAACGCCCCACGCAGUAACAUGCCAGCCUGGUCUGACUGCUCACGCCCUUCUGGUGUUCCCGACCCGGCUCCUGUCCCACACCGAGCCGCUCGCCUUUUCAAGAACGUGAACCUUCUCUUAGUAGUUGCUCUUCUCCGUCAUGAAGAAAUGUGCAAGAAAAGUUUAAGUUCCUACGUCAGUCCUCCUCGGAAUGAGAAAGGAGGAGAACCACAUCCAGCAUCGCAUCUCUUGGGAGGGAAACUCCCAAGGUGAAAGGCAUCAGGGAACCCUUAGAACGGGAACUGGAACUGGUUGUUCCUGGGAAUAACGGAAAAGGUGACACUACCAACCAGGUUUUCACUAAUAUCCUUGAUAAGACCGUUUUUUCCCUCGAAUUGGUAUUGUAAGAAAACAACCGAAGGGGUCAGUAAAGAUUGAAACCAACGACUUUCACACCUAAGCUGUCAUCGCUCCCUCACGCUGGGUUCUGGACCAGAGAUCUGGAAAAACGUCUAAGUGGUGAAGCAAUUUUUAUAUUUUCCAGUAUUUCUUCUUUUUUUUUUAAAUCUUUGCUCACUAAUCAUUUGUGGUUUUUAUGUUUUAAUUCGAAACUUUUCCCUUUGGAGGGCAGGAAUUCCCACAGUUCCCAUUUAGGGACCAGCAGCUCUCAUCAUAACGUGCUUUUUUCCUUUUGCAAAACAAUUUAAGAAAACGUUAUGAUUGUUAUGCACCAAAUUUAAUAAUAUUCAAAUCUUUUCAGUAAGUUAAUUCUCAAAUAAAUUUAUUAAGGGUUUAUUGCAUAAUCGAAAGAAAAUGUUGAUGCAUUCCUUUUGAAAGAGGCCAAUUUCGCCCAAUAAAUGAAGCUGCACUGAAAUUUUCCCAUAAUUCUGGGCACUUUAAAACUAAUCAGAUUAAUCCUGAUAAAGGCGCCAGAAAAUAUAUUACUGGUUUCCACAUGUAUCUUUUUAGCCUCUAAUAUUUUCCAAGAAAAAAACUGUUCGAUUUCAUAUUCAUUCGCAGGAAAAGGUUUUCUGAGUGGGUCCAACUACUAACUGUAAAAGAAAAAUGUAAAAAUGGCUGAAACCGAGCAGUGUAAAGCAUUCUGGUUUUGAUGUCAUUUAAUGCACCUUAGUCCACAUGUAGUCAAGUUUUACAUAUUUUGUUUAAGCCAAAAUUUUGGCUCAAUAGAAACAAUUCUAUCUUGUAUUUUAAAAACGCCAAUUCUCUACCAUGCUCAGUUGUAUAAAAUGGCAAAAUAUUCCUCCA
Molecule: long non-coding RNA, 5248 nt
Organism: Pteropus alecto (black flying fox)
Lineage: Eukaryota; Metazoa; Chordata; Mammalia; Chiroptera; Pteropodidae
Exons: 2
Source: RefSeq, a predicted model, not a curated record